This 627-nucleotide ribosomal RNA is filed under the name uncultured fungus. RNAcentral describes it as "eukaryotic LSU rRNA". It matches the Rfam family "Eukaryotic large subunit ribosomal RNA", at positions 40 to 647 of the family's 3401-position model. The record is from RNAcentral. Lineage: Eukaryota; Fungi.
AUAUCAAUAAGCGGAGGAAAAGAAACUAACAAGGAUUCCCCUAGUAACGGCGAGUGAAGAGGGAAAAGCUCAAAUUUGAAAUCUGGCAGUCUAAGGCUGUCCGAGUUGUAAUCUAGAGAAGUGUUUUCCGUGCUGGACCGUGUACAAGUCCUUUGGAACAAGGCGUCAUAGAGGGUGAGAAUCCCGUCUACGACACGGACUACCAGUGCUCUGUGAUACACUCUCAACGAGUCGAGUUGUUUGGGAAUGCAGCUCAAAAUGGGUGGUAAAUUCCAUCUAAAGCUAAAUACAGGCGAAAGACCGAUAGCGAACAAGUACCGUGAGGGAAAGAUGAAAAGCACUUUGGAAAGAGAGUUAAACAGUACGUGAAAUUGUUGAAAGGGAAACGCUUGAAGUCAGUCGCGUCUUCAGAAAUUCAGCCUGGCUUCUGCCUGGUGUACUUUUCUGUUGGACGGGCCAGCAUCAGUUUUGGCCGCCAGAAAAAGGUGGGAGGAAUGUGGCACCUCCGGGUGUGUUAUAGCCUCUCAUCGUAUGUGGCGGCUGGGACUGAGGACCGCAGCACGCCUCUAAUGGCCGGGGUUCGCCCACGUAACGUGCUUAGGAUGCUGGCGUAAUGGCUUUAAACGA